This 484-nucleotide ribosomal RNA is filed under the name uncultured bacterium. RNAcentral describes it as "partial 16S ribosomal RNA". It matches the Rfam family "Bacterial small subunit ribosomal RNA", at positions 30 to 507 of the family's 1533-position model. The record is from RNAcentral.
AUUGAACGCUGGCGGCAGGCCUAACACAUGCAAGUCGAGCGGAUGAAGGGAGCUUGCUCCUGGAUUCAGCGGCGGACGGGUGAGUAAUGCCUAGGAAUCUGCCUGGUAGUGGGGGAUAACGUCCGGAAACGGGCGCUAAUACCGCAUACGUCCUGAGGGAGAAAGUGGGGGAUCUUCGGACCUCACGCUAUCAGAUGAGCCGAGGUCGGAUUAGCUAGUUGGUGGGGUAAAGGCCUACCAAGGCGACGAUCCGUAACUGGUCUGAGAGGAUGAUCAGUCACACUGGAACUGAGACACGGUCCAGACUCCUACGGGAGGCAGCAGUGGGGAAUAUUGGACAAAGGGCGAAAGCCUGAUCCAGCCAUGCCGCGUGUGUGAAGAAGGUCUUCGGAUUGUAAAGCACUUUAAGUUGGGAGGAAGGGCAGUAAGUUAAUACCUUGCUGUUUUGACGUUACCAACAGAAUAAGCACCGGCUAACUUCGUG